CAGCUGAAGAGGAAGACAUCAUAUAUAAUGUGCAUGAAAAAAACACCACUUCAUGCAUGACAGCUCAGAGGUCACUUUAAAAUAUCACAGGAUGUUCUGGGUUCUGCGGGAUCAGAUGGAGCAGCAGGUGCAGGUGUGGUCAGAUGCUUCUGGACGGGAACAUAAUCCUGUAGCUUCCUCACAGCUUUACUGCAGAAAUCUGCUGCUUCUUCACGACUGCUGCCAUCAAACUGCAGUCGGAUCAGACGGCUCUCUCCCUUACAGAUUCACAGAACAACGAAAAAUGAAAGACGAGGAGGCGGGGAAAUGCCUUUAGGACAGCACGAGCACAUGAGGAUCCUCCUGUGUCUGACGCCUGGUAAACUGCAGAUCAAGGAUCAUUCUCACCUUCAUUGCAAUGUUGAACAGCAAACUGUCUGAUUUAUGCUGGAUUUUCAGGAAGCUCUGGGCAUUAAGCAGAGAAAAGCCCUCCUACAAACAGAAGAAAACAGGAGCACACAUCAUCAUUAUCCAGCAGAGACUGAUUUAAUAGGAUUAUAUCAGGCUGAAAACACAUCAUAUAAGCAGAACAGCAUGAACCUGCCAUCAGCAGCCUCCUCCAGGGUUUCCAUUAGAACAUAACAGAGAAUGGUUCUGUAGUUUCUGCCAAAACCAUGAAUUGAGCGAUCAAUUAAUGUUUUACACAUCUACAUUUUAAUCUUCUAGAGAAAAUGUUUUUUUAUUAAUGCAAAAGCUACAAUGCAAAUGCAGGAAUGCUAUGCAUGUGAAGUGUGCUUGUGUAUAUACAGUUGAGGUCAGAAUUAUUCACCCCCUUUUAAUUUUGAUUUUCUUUUUUAAAUAUUUCCUAAAUUAUGUUUAACAGAGCAAGGAAAUUUUCACAGUAUGUCUGAUAAUAUUUUUUUCUUCUGGAGAAAGUCUUAUUUGUUUUAUUUCAGCUAGAAUAAAAGCAGUUAUUAAUUUUAUAAAAGCCAUUUUAAGGUCAAUAUUAUUAGCCCCUUAAGCUAUAUUUUUUCUCGAUAGUCUACAGAACAAACCAUCAUUAUACAAUAACUUGCCUAAUUACCCUAACCUGCCUAUAGUUAACCCAAUUACCCUAGUGAAGCCUUUAAAUGUCACUUUAAGCUGUAUAGAAGUGUCUUGAAGAAUAUCUAGUCUAAUAUUAUUUACUGUCAUCAUGACAAAGAGAAAAUAAAUCAGUUAUUAGAAAUGAUUUAUUAACACUAUUAUGUUUAGAAAUGUGCUGAAAAUAAAAUCUGCUCUCCGUUAAACAGAAAUUGAGGGAAAAAUAAACAGGGGGGCUAAUAAUUUUGACCAGCUGUAUACUGAAAUUUUCCUUCAGUGCCUCCAUUCUAAAAUAAAGCAGCUUCUCCAUUGAG
RNAcentral lists this long non-coding RNA (1376 nucleotides) under Danio rerio (zebrafish). RNAcentral describes it as "si:ch211-153o21.2 (ENSDARG00000097719.3)". The record is from RNAcentral. Lineage: Eukaryota; Metazoa; Chordata; Actinopteri; Cypriniformes; Danionidae.